Non-coding RNA from Misgurnus anguillicaudatus (oriental weatherfish), 633 nucleotides. NCBI's taxonomy places the organism in Eukaryota, Metazoa, Chordata, Actinopteri, Cypriniformes, Cobitidae. The record is from RefSeq and is a predicted model, not a curated record.
GAGGAUAUUACCAAACUUGUAAAAUUGUAGAUGACAAUUACACUAUAGGACUACAAUAUCCUCUUAUUGAAUAGUUUGUGUAGGAAAGUCUUAUUUUCACCAUUUUCCAUAUUGUAGGUCAGUGGAAGAGGUGUUUGUGGAGGGGAGUGGUCAGCAGCCAGAGAGACCUCCCAAAAACUGCCAGCAACAUAGACGAGGAGGGAUUGGAGUUAUGGUGAAAUGGAGUAUGGCAUAUCAGGAUGGUACUGGAUUAACACUAGGAGAGGGGGUGGAACAGUGCAAUGCCUUCCUCUGUAGGAUUCCAGUGACCACAAAACACAUUUCAAAAGCAGGACGCGCAGACAUGCUGACUCUCAUGGCCAUGCACUGACAUCAGCAAACGUUUAACAAUUUAGCCAUCUCAAAUACUCGCCGAUAUCAGAAGAUUCGCCAAGCAAGAGACUGUUACCUACAAGUUUUGUCGGGAGCCGAGAACAUCAACUUCUUGUACAGUGCUUCAGCUGAUGAGUACGACAGUGACUUUGACUUUCUGGUGAUGGUCUGUAAUCCACAAGACUGUGAUACCUUCCAUUAUUCUGGAAAAAGAUUUCUAACUGUCAAUAUAAUGCAAUUAAUAAAAUCUACUUUUCAUAA